GGGUCAGUAGGUUGGUCGUGCCACCGGUACGUACUGGUCUCACUGAUUCCUCCUUCCCGAAGAACCGUAAUGCCAUUAAUUUGGUGUUGCGAGGAAACAGGACUGUUACUUUGAAAAAAUUAGAGUGUUUAAAGCAAGCUAACGCUUGAAUACAUUAGCAUGGAAUAAUGAAAUAGGACGAUCGAUCCUAUUUUGUUGGUUUCUAGGAUUGACGUA
RNAcentral lists this ribosomal RNA (216 nucleotides) under Glomeromycotina sp. RNAcentral's name for it is "partial small subunit ribosomal RNA". The stretch from base 87 to 216 matches the Rfam family "Eukaryotic small subunit ribosomal RNA", at positions 733 to 864 of the family's 1831-position model. The record is from RNAcentral. Lineage: Eukaryota; Fungi; Glomeromycota.